GUCUACGGACAUACCACCCUGAACGCGCCCGAUCUUGUCUGAUCUCAGAAGCUAAGCAGGGUCGGUCCUGGCUAGUACUUGGAUGGGAGGAAAAAUAAGACACCUUACUCU
Gorilla gorilla gorilla (western lowland gorilla) is the source of this 111-nucleotide ribosomal RNA. NCBI's taxonomy places the organism in Eukaryota, Metazoa, Chordata, Mammalia, Primates, Hominidae. The record is from Ensembl.